Molecule: non-coding RNA, 152 nt
Filed under: unclassified sequences
Source: RNAcentral
GCUGUAUUGGUUCGUGAGAAUAGAUGCAGCUGCCUCCUUACUGUGAGAAUCAGUGACAAACAUGUGGGGCUUAUAUCUUAGAUGUCCAUCUAACUCGUGCUGUAGUUAGACAAGGCAACCAUCGAGUAUUAGUGCAGACGUUAAAAUCAUGU